CAAUGUCCUCCUUUUCACCUGGAGACAUAGUCAAGUCGUAGGGAAGCAGGGGGAUCCUCUGCGGCAGAAGGUUUUGGUGUCGAAAUAUUGGCACUAGGGGUAGGGGUCCGCAAGUCUACCAAGAGACUGUUGACUAGCGGCGACAGCGAAGAAGUGGAAGGUCGAGGAAAGAAGUUCAGUGGUGUCGACCGUCCACUGGGGAAGAAUGACAGUGUCGCUACCCGUGUUGCCUGUGUCGAGCACACCUGCUGAUGAGAUAACUGCUGCUGCUGAGGCUGCUGUUGAGGGAGGGGAUCAUAGAAGAACACAGUUUUUCCAUCUCGGGUUCUUAUGAGGUGUCCGUCGCAGACAGUGAGGUUCGUUCAAGUCAGCUUUGUUGACCUUGCUGUCAAAGGUGCUACUGGGAGAAGUUUUUGGAAGCUCUAAAACUUCUCUCUCUCUGCGAGACGCCUUUGGUCUUCCGUCCCACAGCUGCAUCGGUACUUAUCGGAUCAAGGAUGACUUCGGAUCCUGCCUGACGGAUAACCAGUGUUGCAAAGAAAGAUUCAAAGACAAUGAAUACUUGCAGUGUGCCAGAGGUCUGCACAGUCAGUAGAAAAUGACAACACAG
Macrobrachium nipponense is the source of this 610-nucleotide long non-coding RNA. RefSeq lists it as uncharacterized. NCBI's taxonomy places the organism in Eukaryota, Metazoa, Arthropoda, Malacostraca, Decapoda, Palaemonidae. The record is from RefSeq and is a predicted model, not a curated record. The transcript is spliced from 3 exons.